This 449-nucleotide ribosomal RNA is filed under the name uncultured bacterium. RNAcentral's name for it is "partial 16S ribosomal RNA". It matches the Rfam family "Bacterial small subunit ribosomal RNA", at positions 29 to 523 of the family's 1533-position model. The record is from RNAcentral.
AACGAACGCUGGCGGCAUGCCUAACACAUGCAAGUCGAACGAAGCCUUCGGGCUUAGUGGCGCACGGGUGCGUAACGCGUGGGAAUCUGCCCUUGGGUUCGGAAUAACAGUUAGAAAUGACUGCUAAUACCGGAUGAUGUCUUCGGACCAAAGAUUUAUCGCCCAAGGAUGCGCCCGCGUGGGAUUAGGUAGUUGGUGGGGUAAUGGCCCACCAAGCCGACGAUCCUUAACUGGUCUGAGAGGACGAUCAGCCACACUGGGACUGAGAACCGGCCCAGACUCCGACGGGAUGCAGCGGUGUGAAAUAUUAGACUAGGGGCGAAAACCUAAUCGAUCAAUGCCAGUUGAGUAAUGAAGGCCUUAGUGUUAUAAAGCUCUGUUACCAUGGAUGAUAAAUACAUUACCUGGAGAAUAAGCUCCGGCUAACACCGAGCCAGCAGCCGCCGUAA